Ochotona princeps (American pika) is the source of this 337-nucleotide long non-coding RNA. RefSeq lists it as uncharacterized. Lineage: Eukaryota; Metazoa; Chordata; Mammalia; Lagomorpha; Ochotonidae. The record is from RefSeq and is a predicted model, not a curated record. The transcript is spliced from 3 exons.
UGAUUGAGCUGCUGCCUGCCAAGGUGCACAUCACCAGGAAGCUAGGAUUGAGCCUAGAUUGAAGUCCAGGCACUUCCAACAUGUGGUGUUGGCAGCCCAGGUGAAUGGUUUCCAAGUAGUGUAAGACUUCAAGAAAAAUCUUGUGAGGCUCCAAGAAGGUGAAAUGAUUUUUAUUGAACAUCCAGUUGGGCAGCUACCUCUUGGAAUGAACAGCAAGUGCCUUGAACAAAGAGGUGUCUGCUCAAGGAAAUGCCCAGGGCAAAGGAUGUGAUGGAUGUAGGGACUGCUGCAAGACCAGACUGUGACCAUUACAGAGAGUGUGAACAGCUGCAACGAG